RNAcentral lists this transfer RNA (69 nucleotides) under Adelastes hylonomos (Neblina frog). RNAcentral describes it as "tRNA-Pro". It matches the Rfam family "tRNA". Rfam says of the family: Transfer RNA (tRNA) molecules are approximately 80 nucleotides in length. Their secondary structure includes four short double-helical elements and three loops (D, anti-codon, and T loops). Lineage: Eukaryota; Metazoa; Chordata; Amphibia; Anura; Microhylidae. The record is from RNAcentral.
CAGAACAUAAUUUAAAGAGAAUACUGGCUUUGGGGGCCAGCAGUGUGGGUUUAAUUCCCGUUGUUUUGA